UCGUUCGUCGUUUCUCUUUCCACACCCAGCGUUCUAUCCUCUAGCUACUGCCGGUUGGAUGUCUUUGCACACCCACCCUUUGCGCCCGUUCUCAUUAUCGCGUCGCAGCAACCCCUAAAAUGCCACCCUGGAAAGGUCCCUGGCACCGAUCUAAGCUCUACGAGGAGAUAUUUCGAGAAAGGACGAGAAAAUUGCUAUCUCUCUCUUUCCCUUCUAUUCUAUCUUUAUCCUGCUGCCGUGAGAUUUUCUCUUUGAAGUUGAGAAAGAGUGCAAAAAUGACGGAUCUUUUAAGAAAUUGGCAAUGCUCAGCGAUGCAUAAAUUUUCAUUCUUAUCACUUAUUAUGUUCCAUGACAAAUGAUUCGAGUUUUAAUGUUUUAAUUGAUAUAAUAAUUGAUUCGUGACGUGCUAAAAAGUUAUAUAAUUUUAUUAAAUUUUGUUUUGAAAUUGAUCGUGUAAUAUAAAAAAAAGUAAUUUUAUCAACAUACAUAGCACUUCUGUCAUUCAGUAAUUUAAAAUUUGCCUAUAUGUAAUUUAAUAAUAUAAAUAUUAUUAACGGCAUUUAAAAUGUAGAUAAAACGUGAAUAUUUAGUUCAUAAUAAUUGCACGUAUUACUGUGAUACCUGAUUCCACGACAUCACAUUAAUGUAGAGCACUGUUGAAUAGAAAUCGGGUUAAGAUAAAUCGAUUUCAAGGACAUCACUAUCGGAUUUCCAUCUCUUAGGCUCGGUGGAUUUUCAACGGAUAGGAAAGGAGACGAGAGAUGAGACUGAGGCCAGAGAGAGCGUCAUUAGUUACCGUCGCUUCCAGAGAAAGGUCCCGGUCACCGGACCUGAUUAAAAGACGGAACCCCGAGACGCCCUUGCAAGACGCACUGAGGGGGUGAAAUGUGACGCGAAUUUAAAGGAUCCGCAGUGAUUCGACACGGGGGUGUGGGUGGACAGGAACAACCCUUAAAAAGGUUCCCUUUAAGGACUGCACGCCCGAAGGGUUGCCGCCACCGUUCGGUUUUCCGUAUACGUGAAAGAGCCUUUUAAACGCAUCGUAAAUCAGAUAACAUGCUAUUUCGAUACGUGGAGAUUGACGAAAGGACGAAAUUAGAAACGACAUCGGAGAUCGAAAGGAAGAAAAGACCGUAUGGCCCGUCCGUCGGACUUCGGCGUUCUCACGAAGCCCUUGGGGAGCCCAUAAAAUUCGUCCCUGCUGUCGAGGUAGGCCCGAACGAAAUUUAAUAACAUCCCCCUAGUUACACCUCAAUGGGCACCUUAACAACCCUGCACGGCCAGCCACUUGUCUCACACCCUCGAUAGUGCUCUUCCCUUUCUCCUUAUCAACCCUCCUGGCGUAGAUAUCUAAUAAACCACCUCUUGAACGCCCUUACCUAGUCAGCGAUACCCAACGGCUGGGCAGCUUUGAAAGUUCGAAAGGUGCUCGACUGACCGACCCUCCGCUGGACUGGAUGGAGGCGCAAUCUGUGAGCCGACCGGCGAACCCUGAGCGAAAGGGUUGAAAAAACUCGCGAGCACAUCACUCGAAAUAAACCGAUCGAUAUUCGUUGAGUGUCAUUUGCACUCUAGCUGAAACAAUGUAGGUGACCCAAUUGUGCGAACACAAUUAAUCCGGCGUCGUGCUAAAAUUGUGCGCUAAUAAUUAAUUUGCGUCAUAUCUCUAAUAAAUUGAUAUUCUUUAUUAUUGAAAGAAAAAAUUAUACAAAGAAAGCAUUGAUUAAACCAAUAAAAUCUGGUUUGUUAAGAAAUUUGA
Molecule: unclassified non-coding RNA, 1759 nt
Filed under: Monomorium pharaonis (pharaoh ant)
Lineage: Eukaryota; Metazoa; Arthropoda; Insecta; Hymenoptera; Formicidae
Description: uncharacterized LOC105835739, transcript variant X1
Source: RNAcentral